CCUACGGGUGGCAGCAGUAGGGAAUCUUCCACAAUGGGCGAAAGCCUGAUGGAGCAACGCCGCGUGGGUGAAGAAGGUCUUCGGAUCGUAAAACCCUGUUGUUAGAGAAGAAAGUGCGUGAGAGUAACUGUUCACGUUUCGAUGGUAUCUUACCAGAAAGCCACGUCGAACUACGUGCCAGCAGCCGCGGUAAUACGUAGGUGGCAAGCGUUAUCCGGAUUUAUUGGGCGUAAAGGGAACGCAGGGGGUCUAUUAAGUCUGAUGUGAAAGGCUUCGGCUGACCCGGUGGAGUGCAUGGGAAACUGGGAGACUGGAGUGCAGAAGAGGAGAGUGGAACUCCAGGUGUAGCGGUGAAAUGCGUAGAUAUAUGGAAGAACACCAGUGGCGAAAGCGGCUGUCUGGUCUGUAACUGACGCUGAGGUUCGAAAGCGUGGGUAGCAAACAGGAUUAGAUACCCGGGUAGUC
This 465-nucleotide ribosomal RNA is filed under the name uncultured bacterium. Its description in RNAcentral is "partial 16S ribosomal RNA". It matches the Rfam family "Bacterial small subunit ribosomal RNA", at positions 338 to 795 of the family's 1533-position model. The record is from RNAcentral.